This 425-nucleotide ribosomal RNA is filed under the name uncultured bacterium. Its description in RNAcentral is "partial 16S ribosomal RNA". It matches the Rfam family "Bacterial small subunit ribosomal RNA", at positions 354 to 796 of the family's 1533-position model. The record is from RNAcentral.
GUGGGGAAUCUUGCGCAAUGGGCGAAAGCCUGACGCAGCCAUGCCGCGUGAAUGAUGAAGGUCUUAGGAUUGUAAAAUUCUUUCACCGGGGACGAUAAUGACGGUACCCGGAGAAGAAGCUCCGGCUAACUUCGUGCCAGCAGCCGCGGUAAUACGAAGGGGGCUAGCGUUGCUCGGAAUUACUGGGCGUAAAGGGCGCGUAGGCGGACAGCUUAGUCAGAGGUGAAAGCCCAGGGCUCAACCUUGGAAUUGGCUUUGAUACUGGCUGUCUUGAGUUUGGGAGAAGUGAGUUGAACUCCGAGUGUAGAGGUGAAAUUCGUAGAUAUUCGGAAGAACACCAGUGGCGAAGGCGACUCACUGGCCCAAUACUGACGCUGAGGCGCGAAAGCGUGGGGAGCAAACAGGAUUAGAAACCCGAGUAGUCC